This is a non-coding RNA of Triticum urartu, 955 nucleotides long. NCBI's taxonomy places the organism in Eukaryota, Viridiplantae, Streptophyta, Magnoliopsida, Poales, Poaceae. The record is from RefSeq and is a predicted model, not a curated record.
UUUUGGUUGGCUGAUAGCUUGCAAGAUCUUCAUAUUCUACAUAGAAGGUGCAGUGUGAUGUGAUGCAUAUGGAACUGGUAUUACUUUGCAGUAUGGAACUGGCGGUGGGUGUAUGAAAUGUGAUGGCUGUAACAUUAUACCUAAUUUCUUAUCAGUUCAUGAUAUGGUUGUUUGAAAUGUGAUACCUGGACGUGAGUGUCUCUGGCGCGGGAUCCUGGACGCCUCCGGCGGUGGCUGGUGAAAGGGAUAGCCGGAUCCUGGACGUCUUCGGCGACGGGUCCUGAAAGGUAUCGGCGACGGGUCCUGAAAGGUAUCGGCGACGGAUCCUGGAAGCGUUCGGCGGAGGGUCCUCAACUGGACAUGCACCGGAUCAGUGGAGACCAGCGGCGGAUCAGUGCCAGGGCGGCGGCGAAGGGAUGGAGCGGCGGCGGUGAAGGGAUGAAGAGCGGCGGCAGGCGAAUGAGGGCACAGACUCGGGCGUCUGUUUCUCGCUCGAGGGCACGAGACCUCGCUCAUGGGUGCGAAGGGAGGUUAGGCGCGUGGGGGCGGAUGUGGGACUCGGCCCUGAGGGUUUUUCUUGGUUCAUCGCGGCUGAGCGGGAGGUGGGAGCAGGUACCAAAAAAGACCGGGUGAGGUGGGACGAAAAUUAAACCCGGAACGCGACCUACCAACUGAGAUAUUAGGAGUAGAGAUUCCACGAUUUCCGGCGAUGGGCGUUCAGUGGAAUGGGACGCUCCUGUCGGCUGCGAAGCGCCUACGGUGAUUUUGUAAAAUCUCAAGAUGAUAUGUCGCCUCAGUCUCUCGGACGUGCUCAUAAGCGUAGAGUGUGCGUGCGUGCGUUCAUAGGGUGAGUUAUGCGAUAUAUUUAUAUGAAUGUUUGCGUCUCGAUAGCACGGUGAGAUAUUGUACUCGCCUGAAGCGACGUCAUACUGGGCCGGCCCAGUAGCGCAGAUCA